Long non-coding RNA from Brienomyrus brachyistius, 550 nucleotides. RefSeq lists it as uncharacterized. NCBI's taxonomy places the organism in Eukaryota, Metazoa, Chordata, Actinopteri, Osteoglossiformes, Mormyridae. The record is from RefSeq and is a predicted model, not a curated record. The transcript has 5 exons.
CGCACAGAGAGAAAGGUCAGGUCAGCUAGACGAGCGCCGCACACGCCCCGACACAUCAGGUCAGCUAGACGAGCGCCGCACACGCCCCGACACACACCAGGUCAGCUAGACGAGCGCCGCACACGCCCCGACACACACCAGGUCAGCUAGACGAGCGCCGCACACGCCCCGACACACACCAGGUCAGCUAGACGAGCGCCGCACACGCCCCGACACACACCAGGUCAGCUAGACGAGCGCCGCACACGCCCCGACACACACCAGGUCAGCUAGACGAGCGCCGCACACGCGCCGACACACACCAGGUCAGCUAGACGAGCGCCGCACACGCCCCGACACACACCAGGUCAGCUAGACGAGCGCCGCACACGCCCCGACACACACCAGGUCAGCUAGACGAGCGCCGCACACGCCCCGACACACACCAGGUCAGCUAGACGAGCGCCGCACACGCCCCGACACACACCAGGGCGUCGGCCCUAUGCUUUCAUCAUAAGAGGAACCUGCUUAUUGCAUUUUCGUUUCAUAAGUAAUAAAAAUAAAGAUUUUC